GCGCCCAUGGCUCAGCGGAUAGAGCGACGGACUACGAAUCCGUAGGUCGCAGGUUCGAUUCCUGCUGGGCGCGCCA
Molecule: transfer RNA, 76 nt
Filed under: Pseudomonadota bacterium
Lineage: Bacteria; Pseudomonadati; Pseudomonadota
Also listed under: 2 other names
Description: Proteobacteria bacterium (sediment metagenome) tRNA-Arg
Rfam family: tRNA
About the family: Transfer RNA (tRNA) molecules are approximately 80 nucleotides in length. Their secondary structure includes four short double-helical elements and three loops (D, anti-codon, and T loops).
Source: RNAcentral